AACGAACGCUGGCGGCAUGCCUAAUACAUGCAAGUCGAACGAGAUCUUCGGAUCUAGUGGCGCACGGGUGCGUAACGCGUGGGAAUCUGCCCUUGGGUUCGGAAUAACUUCUGGAAACGGAAGCUAAUACCGGAUGAUGACGUAAGUCCAAAGAUUUAUCGCCCAAGGAUGAGCCCGCGUAGGAUUAGCUAGUUGGUGGGGUAAAGGCCCACCAAGGCGACGGUCCUUAGCUGGCCUGAGAGGAUGAUCAGCCACACUGGGACUGAGACACGGCCCAGAAUCCUACGGGAGGCAGCAGUAGGGAAUAUUGGACAAUGGGGGAAACCCUGAUCCAGCAAUGCCGCGUGAGUGAUGAAGGCCUUAGGGUUGUAAAGCUCUUUUACCCGGGAUGAUAAUGACAGUACCGGGAGAAUAAGCUCCGGCUAACUCCGUGCCAGCCGCCGCCGUAA
This 449-nucleotide ribosomal RNA is filed under the name uncultured bacterium. Its description in RNAcentral is "partial 16S ribosomal RNA". It matches the Rfam family "Bacterial small subunit ribosomal RNA", at positions 29 to 523 of the family's 1533-position model. The record is from RNAcentral.